Molecule: long non-coding RNA, 1052 nt
Organism: Octopus bimaculoides (California two-spot octopus)
Lineage: Eukaryota; Metazoa; Mollusca; Cephalopoda; Octopoda; Octopodidae
Source: RefSeq, a predicted model, not a curated record
UGGAAAACAAGACAAGCAACACGGCGAACGACCAUUCGUCAGGAUGAAUGGAGGUCGAUUUUAUCGGAUAUAUGCAGAACUUUAGUCGACUCUAUGCCCAGAAGACUUAAUGCAGUCAUUGAUAGCAAGGGUGGUCGCACCAAAUAUUGGAUAUAGCAAGGGUGUACAUAUUUUUGUAACCUUUGAAAAUUAAUAUUUCUUUCUAUAUUCCAUGUACAAAAGAAGCCUUGGAACUGUCCGAAUUUCAAAGGGUCAUUCUGAAGGUGGAAAAUCUUGGGAUCCCGCUUUCUAUAGUUGAAAUAGAAAUUGUGCAAUUCGCCAGUGAGUCCCCAUCACCUCGCCCAGAUCGACCAGGGCCCUCUAACAUAGCAUUUCACUUUGUUAAGAGAAGUAUGGAGGAUAAUCCUCGUUGUAAGGCCUCUGACAUAGCAUAACAAGCUGAUAUCAGUCCCAGAACAGCUGUCAGGUAUCUCCACAAAUUUGGUUACAAUGGUAGAGCAGCAAGAAGUAAGCCACUUCUUCGACCAGCCAACAUCAAGCGGAAAAAAAUUGGGCCAGUGAAAAGGUGGACAGGCCACUGGCGUUUUGGGACGCUGUCAUAUUCUCUGAUGAAUUUGAAGUAUUUCCUGACAUUGAAGUAUUUCCUGACAUUGGUCGAGUGUGAGUUUGGAGAUUGUGAUCAAGAAUUUGAUGUGAAAAGAUUUCAGCCAACAGUAAAAAAAAUGGCAACUAUUCUGUGAUUGUCUGGAGAGCAAUUUGAUGUUGGUCAUAUUACUAGAAUAUAACUUUAGGUCAUCAACAAAAAAUGUAUCUUUGUUAACCUCUAAGAUUUCGCCGUCCCUAUCAACAGACUGCGCAACCAGUCAUUGAACGAUGAUGGGAAUAAAAUAAGAGGGACCUGUUUCACGUGUUAGUUCGUAGCAUCUGUCAUUCCGGUAUUUGCUGCUGAAGAGGAAAUAACCAUUCCGAAGUGUAUGCAUCCAACAAUCUGGCUAGGGAAAGCUGUGAGCUGAUUCUAUGUAUUUACAUCCAUUGUUUAUAACGAGAAAUUU